UUCAGGAUGAACGCUAGCUACAGGCUUAACACAUGCAAGUCGAGGGGCAGCAUGGUCUUAGCUUGCUAAGGCCGAUGGCGACCGGCGCACGGGUGAGUAACACGUAUCCAACCUGCCGUCUACUCUUGGACAGCCUUCUGAAAGGAAGAUUAAUACAAGAUGGCAUCAUGAGUCCGCAUGUUCACAUGAUUAAAGGUAUUCCGGUAGACGAUGGGGAUGCGUUCCAUUAGAUAGUAGGCGGGGUAACGGCCCACCUAGUCUUCGAUGGAUAGGGGUUCUGAGAGGAAGGUCCCCCACAUUGGAACUGAGACACGGUCCAAACUCCUACGGGAGGCAGCAGUGAGGAAUAUUGGUCAAUGGGCGAGAGCCUGAACCAGCCAAGUAGCGUGAAGGAUGACUGCCCUAUGGGUUGUAAACUUCUUUUAUAAAGGAAUAAAGUCGGGUAUGGAUACCCGUUUGCAUGUACUUUAUGAAUAAGGAUCGGCUAACUCCGUGCCAGCAGCCGCGGUAAUACGGAGGAUCCGAGCGUUAUCCGGAUUUAUUGGGUUUAAAGGGAGCGUAGAUGGAUGUUUAAGUCAGUUGUGAAAGUUUGCGGCUCAACCGUAAAAUUGCAGUUGAUACUGGAUAUCUUGAGUGCAGUUGAGGCAGGCGGAAUUCGUGGUGUAGCGGUGAAAUGCUUAGAUAUCACGAAGAACUCCGAUUGCGAAGGCAGCCUGCUAAGCUGCAACUGACAUUGAGGCUCGAAAGUGUGGGUAUCAAACAGGAUUAGAUACCCUGGUAGUCCACACGGUAAACGAUGAAUACUCGCUGUUUGCGAUAUACUGCAAGCGGCCAAGCGAAAGCGUUAAGUAUUCCACCUGGGGAGUACGCCGGCAACGGUGAAACUCAAAGGAAUUGACGGGGGCCCGCACAAGCGGAGGAACAUGUGGUUUAAUUCGAUGAUACGCGAGGAACCUUACCCGGGCUUAAAUUGCAGAUGAAUUACGGUGAAAGCCGUAAGCCGCAAGGCAUCUGUGAAGGUGCUGCAUGGUUGUCGUCAGCUCGUGCCGUGAGGUGUCGGCUUAAGUGCCAUAACGAGCGCAACCCUUGUUGUCAGUUACUAACAGGUUCCGCUGAGGACUCUGACAAGACUGCCAUCGUAAGAUGUGAGGAAGGUGGGGAUGGCGUCAAAUCAGCACGGCCCUUACGUCCGGGGCUACACACGUGUUACAAUGGGGGGUACAGAGGGCCGCUACCACGCGAGUGGAUGCCAAUCCCCAAAACCUCUCUCAGUUCGGACUGGAGUCUGCAACCCGACUCCACGAAGCUGGAUUCGCUAGUAAUCGCGCAUCAGCCACGGCGCGGUGAAUACGUUCCCGGGCCUUGUACACACCGCCCGUCAAGCCAUGGGAGCCGGGGGUACAAGAAGUGCGUAACCGCGAGGAGCGCCCUA
This 1432-nucleotide ribosomal RNA is filed under the name uncultured bacterium. RNAcentral describes it as "bacterial SSU rRNA". It matches the Rfam family "Bacterial small subunit ribosomal RNA". The record is from RNAcentral.